This 449-nucleotide ribosomal RNA is filed under the name uncultured bacterium. RNAcentral's name for it is "partial 16S ribosomal RNA". It matches the Rfam family "Bacterial small subunit ribosomal RNA", at positions 29 to 523 of the family's 1533-position model. The record is from RNAcentral.
AACGAUCGCUGGCGGCAUGCCUAACACAUGCAAGUCGAACGAAGCCUUCGGGCUUAGUGGCGCACGGGUGCGUAACGCGUGGGAAUCUGCCCUUGGGUUCGGAAUAACAGUUAGAAAUGACUGCUAAUACCGGAUGAUGUCUUCGGACCAAAGAUUUAUCGCCCAAGGAUGAGCCCGCGUAGGAUUAGGUAGUUGGUGGGGUAAUGGCCCACCAAGCCGACGAUCCUUAGCUGGUCUGAGAGGAUGAUCAGCCACACUGGGACUGAGACACGGCCCAGACUCCUACGGGAGGCAGCAGUGGGGAAUAUUGGACAAUGGGCGAAAGCCUGAUCCAGCAAUGCUGCGUGAGUGAUGAAGGCCUUAGGGUUGUAAAGCUCUUUUACCAGGGAUGAUAAUGACAGUACCUGGAGAAUAAGCUCCGGCUAACUCCGUGCCAGCCGCCGCGGUAA